Molecule: ribosomal RNA, 253 nt
Filed under: uncultured bacterium
Lineage: Bacteria
Description: partial 16S ribosomal RNA
Rfam family: Bacterial small subunit ribosomal RNA
Source: RNAcentral
UACGUAGGCAGCGAGCGUUGUUCGGAAUUACUGGGCGUAAAGAGUGUGUAGGCGGUGCUCUAAGUUCGGUGUGAAAUCUCCUGGCUUAACUGGGAGGGUGCGCCGGAAACUGGAGUGCUCGAGCGUGGGAGAGGAAAGCGGAAUUCCUGGUGUAGCGGUGAAAUGCGUAGAUAUCAGGAGGAACACCUGUGGUGUAGACGGCUUUCUGGACCAUAGCUGACGCUGAGACACGAAAGCGUGGAUAGCAAACAGG